RNAcentral lists this ribosomal RNA (497 nucleotides) under uncultured bacterium. RNAcentral's name for it is "partial 16S ribosomal RNA". It matches the Rfam family "Bacterial small subunit ribosomal RNA", at positions 28 to 507 of the family's 1533-position model. The record is from RNAcentral.
GACGAACGCUGGCGGCGUGCCUAAUACAUGCAAGUUGAGCGCUGAAGGUUGGUACUUGUACCGACUGGAUGAGCAGCGAACGGGCGAGUAACGCGUGGGGAAUCUGCCUUUGAGCGGGGGACAACAUUUGGAAACGAAUGCUAAUACCGCAUAAAAACUUUAAACACAAGUUUUAAGUUUGAAAGAUGCAAUUGCAUCACUCAAAGAUGAUCCCGCGUUGUAUUAGCUAGUUGGUGAGGUAAAGGCUCACCAAGGCGAUGAUACAUAGCCGACCUGAGAGGGUGAUCGGCCACAUUGGGACUGAGACACGGCACAAACUCCUACGGGAGGCAGCAGUAGGGAAUCUUCGGCAAUAGACGAAAGUCUGACCGAGCAACGCCGCGUGAGUGAAGAAGGUUGUCGGAUCGUAAAACUCUGUUGGUAGAGAAGAACGUUGGUGAGAGUGGAAAGCUCAUCAAGUGACGGUAACUACACAGAAAGGGACGGCUAACUACGUG